CGAACGCUGGCGGCGUGCCUAACACAUGCAAGUCGCACGAGAAAGCGGGCUUCGGUCCGUGAGUACAGUGGCAGACGGGUGAGUAACACGUGGGUAACUUGACCGGAGGUGGGGGAUAACUCUCCGAAAGGAGGGCUAAUACCGCAUGAUAUCCCGAGUACUUCGGUACAUGGGAUCAAAGCUUGCCUCUACCUGUAAGCUAGCGCCACCGGAGAGACCCGCGCCCCAUUAGUUUGAUGGUGAGGUAAUGGCUCACCAUGACUACGAUGGGUAGCCGGCCUGAGAGGGCGAUCGGCCACACUGGAACUGAGACACGGUCCAGACUCCUACGGGAGGCAGCAGUGAGGAAUUUUGCGCAAUGGGCGAAAGCCUGACGCAGCGACGCCGCGUGGAGGACGAAGGCCUUCGGGUCGUAAACUCCUGUCAAGAGGGACGAAGGUUGCGGGGAUGAAUAAGCCUCGUAAUUGACGGUACCUUUGAAGGAAGCCCCGGCUAACUCC
RNAcentral lists this ribosomal RNA (500 nucleotides) under uncultured bacterium. Its description in RNAcentral is "bacterial SSU rRNA". It matches the Rfam family "Bacterial small subunit ribosomal RNA", at positions 30 to 504 of the family's 1533-position model. The record is from RNAcentral.